Molecule: ribosomal RNA, 604 nt
Filed under: uncultured bacterium
Lineage: Bacteria
Description: bacterial SSU rRNA
Rfam family: Bacterial small subunit ribosomal RNA
Source: RNAcentral
GAAAGAUUCAUCGGAAGAGGAUGGGCAUGCGGCGCAUUAGCUAGACGGCGGGGUAACGGCCCACCGUGGCGACGAUGCGUAGGGGUUCUGAGAGGAAGGUCCCCCACACUGGUAUUGAGACACGGACCAGACUCCUACGGGAGGCAGCAGUGAGGAAUAUUGGUCAAUGGGAGAGAUCCUGAACCAGCCAAGCCGCGUGAGGGAAGACGGCCCUAUGGGUUGUAAACCUCUUUUGUCGGAGAACAAAACCCGGGACGUGUCCCGGACUGCGUGUAUCCGAAGAAAAAGCAUCGGCUAACUCCGUGCCAGCAGCCGCGGUAAUACGGAGGAUGCGAGCGUUAUCCGGAUUUAUUGGGUUUAAAGGGUGCGUAGGCGGUCCGUUAAGUCAGCGGUAAAAUUGCGGGGCUCAACCCCGUCGAGCCGUUGAAACUGGCAGACUUGAGUUGGCGAGAAGUACGCGGAAUGCGCGGUGUAGCGGUGAAAUGCAUAGAUAUCGCGCAGAACUCCGAUUGCGAAGGCAGCGUACCGGCGCCAGACUGACGCUGAGGCACGAAAGCGUGGGGAUCGAACAGGAUUAGAUACCCUGGUAGUCCACGCAGUAAAC